Long non-coding RNA from Dermochelys coriacea (leatherback sea turtle), 537 nucleotides. RefSeq lists it as uncharacterized. The transcript is spliced from 4 exons. Lineage: Eukaryota; Metazoa; Chordata; Testudines; Dermochelyidae. The record is from RefSeq and is a predicted model, not a curated record.
UCAGAGAAGAGUAGGGGGUUAUGUAAAGCCUGUCUGUUGUUGCUGAUCUUUGUAGGAUAGUAUAAUUCUUAGAACAGGACUGUUGCCUGAACAGCAUUACUCUGAGAGCAGCUCAUAGAUAAGAUGAUUAAAAGCAAGCUGCACCAAGAUGACUUCAGUCCUUAAAAACUUUUUUUUAAAGAAAGGAAAUAAACCCUGAGCCAGCAGCAAUGUUUAUUUAGAUCUGAAUUCAUGAAUGUUAGCCAAAUGUUGGGUAUUAAUAUGCAUGAUCUAAGGUUAUGGCUGCUAUGGAAAUAAGAUUGUUACCUUUAGCUCCCUCCUCUGCAGGACAGAGAGGGAGAGGCACCGCCCAAGCCGGGUGUAUAUACAAAAGCAGACUCAAAUAAGGAUCCAUUGUACAACCCAGGAAAACACAACAAUGGGCUAUUAAAGUUAAUGGAAAGACCUAGAGAAAACUGAGGAUUUCCCCACUUUGAAUCUGUGUUUUUUCUAUGAAAUAAACCUUUUGUUUGUUUGUUUACUGCCAAGCCGGUAUCU